Molecule: ribosomal RNA, 484 nt
Filed under: uncultured bacterium
Lineage: Bacteria
Description: partial 16S ribosomal RNA
Rfam family: Bacterial small subunit ribosomal RNA
Source: RNAcentral
AUUGAACGCUGGCGGCAUGCCUAACACAUGCAAGUCGAGCGGAUGAAGGGAGCUUUCUCCUGGAUUCAGCGGCGGACGGGUGAGUAAUGCCUAGGAAUCUGCCUGGUAGUGGGGGAUAACGUCCGGAAACGGGCGCUAAUACCGCAUACGUCCUGAGGGAGAAAGUGGUGGAUCUUCGGACCUCACGCUAUCAGAUGAGCCUAGGUCGGAUUAGCUAGUUGGUGGGGUAAAGGCCUACCAAGGCGACGAUCCGUAACUGGUCUGAGAGGAUGAUCAGUCAAACUGGAACUGAGAAACGGUCCAGACUCCUACGGGAGGAAGAAGUGGGGAAUAUUGGCAAAUGGGCGAAAGCCUGAUCCAGACAUGCCGCGUGUGUGAAGAAGGUCUUCGGAUUGUAAAGCACUUUAAGUUGGGAGGACGGGCAGUAAGUUAAUAACUUGAUGUUUUGACGUUACCAACAGAGUAAGCACCGGCUAACUACGUG